GUGCGGCACUGCAAGCGGCCAGGGGCCACGGGGAGCAGGUGGGGAAUAAGGGAGAAGGGUAUGGGCGACAGAGCCCAGCAGGGGAACCCGGGGAGGGGAGGGGGAACAGAUUACAGGCAGAGCCAAAGCAUCAUAGCAGGGGCACCCAUUCCCCAUACAGCAGAGUGAGAAAAACUGCAUAAAGUAACCCAGAAUAACAAUAAAUCAAUGAGCAGUAUACAGAAUCUAUCAGAUAAAUAGCCUAAAUACAGCAACAGAUGUUAACAAAUGAUACAGCAGCUACAUAGCAUGAAGUGGU
This 298-nucleotide long non-coding RNA is filed under the name Pelobates cultripes (western spadefoot toad). Lineage: Eukaryota; Metazoa; Chordata; Amphibia; Anura; Pelobatidae. The record is from RNAcentral.